UACAGAGGGGGCAAGCGUUGUUCGGAAUUACUGGGCGUAAAGGGCGCGUAGGCGGCCUUCUAAGUCGAACGUGAAAUCCCCGGGCUCAACCCGGGAACUGCCUCGGAUACUGGGCGUCUCGAGUGUGGUAGGGGUAUGCGGAACUAUCGGUGGAGCGGUGAAAUGCGUUGAUAUCGAUAGGAACUCCGGUGGCGAAGGCGGCAUACUGGACCAC
This 214-nucleotide ribosomal RNA is filed under the name uncultured prokaryote. Its description in RNAcentral is "partial 16S ribosomal RNA". It matches the Rfam family "Bacterial small subunit ribosomal RNA", at positions 524 to 737 of the family's 1533-position model. The record is from RNAcentral.